UACGAGGGGGGGCGAGCGUUUGUUCGGAAUUAUUGGGGCGUAAAGGGUGCGUAGGCGGUUCCGCAAGUCCUGUGUGAAAUCUUCGGGCUCAACUCGAAGUCUGCACGGGAAACUGCGGGGCUGGGUGUGGGAGAGGUGAGUGGAAUUCCCGGUGUAGCGGUGGAAUGCGUAGAUAUCGGGAGGAACACCUGUGGCGAAAGCGGCUCACUGGACCAUAACUGACGCUGAUGCACGAAAGCUGGGGGGAGCAAACAGG
RNAcentral lists this ribosomal RNA (256 nucleotides) under uncultured bacterium. RNAcentral's name for it is "partial 16S ribosomal RNA". It matches the Rfam family "Bacterial small subunit ribosomal RNA", at positions 524 to 776 of the family's 1533-position model. The record is from RNAcentral.